ACUGAACAGUUUUUCCUCAGUUUUGAAAACAAAAGAACCCAACAAAAGAGAGAUUUGGAUAGCAUAGAAGUUUAUCGCAACUGUGAAAGAAAAAAGGUUUGGGUGGUGUUACGCAGAAGGAAAGCGAUUGCGUCAAAGGAAAUUAGAAGAUUGGUUAACAGAGGCCGUGGUGAUUAACGGCUUAAGCCACGAUUGUACAGUGGAAAACAGGGCAGGAAUCAAGAUCUGGGUCGGAGCGGGGAACAAAAACGGAAGAGAAAGGAUGGAAGAGUUUGGUUUGCCAGAGCGCUUGUUUCAGACAGGUUAUUAACCUACAGGCUGUAAAAUAA
Brassica oleracea var. oleracea is the source of this 329-nucleotide long non-coding RNA. RefSeq lists it as uncharacterized. The record is from RefSeq and is a predicted model, not a curated record. Lineage: Eukaryota; Viridiplantae; Streptophyta; Magnoliopsida; Brassicales; Brassicaceae. The transcript is spliced from 3 exons.